This 423-nucleotide ribosomal RNA is filed under the name uncultured bacterium. RNAcentral's name for it is "bacterial SSU rRNA". It matches the Rfam family "Bacterial small subunit ribosomal RNA", at positions 355 to 776 of the family's 1533-position model. The record is from RNAcentral.
UGAGGAAUAUUGGUCAAUGGUCGGAAGGCUGAACCAGCCAUCCCGCGUGCAGGAUGAAGGAGCUACGCUUUGUAAACUGCUUUUUUAGGGGAAGAAAAAAUCUUUUUUAAGAUCUUGACGGUACCCUAAGAAUAAGCACCGGCUAACUACGUGCCAGCAGCCGCGGUAAUACGUAGGGUGCAAGCGUUAUCCGGAAUUAUUGGGUUUAAAGGACGCGCAGGCGGUUUCUUAAGUCAGUGGUGAAAGUUUGCGGCUCAACCGUAAAAUUGCCAUUGAUACUGGGAUGACUAGAGAUCGUUCGACGUGGAUGGAAUGUGUGGUGUAGCGGUGAAAUGCGUAGAUAUCACACGGAACACCAAUUGCGAAGGCAGUUCACGAGGAUAGAUCUGACGCUCAGGCGUGAAGGCAUGGGGAGCAAACAGG